UCCUUGGUAGCUCAGAUGGUAGAGAAUCUGUCUGCAAUACAGGAGACCCAGGUUCAAUCCCUGGCUCAGAAA
Molecule: transfer RNA, 72 nt
Filed under: Ovis aries (sheep)
Lineage: Eukaryota; Metazoa; Chordata; Mammalia; Artiodactyla; Bovidae
Rfam family: tRNA
About the family: Transfer RNA (tRNA) molecules are approximately 80 nucleotides in length. Their secondary structure includes four short double-helical elements and three loops (D, anti-codon, and T loops).
Source: Rfam by way of RNAcentral